UUUGUGUUCGGGCCCUGGAGGCGCCCUAGGGUGUGGCGUGGUGUCGUCGGCGCGCAGUAGUAACGGGGCGGGAGUCGUUUGCUGUCCCGGGGCUGAGGUGGCCAGGCCCGAGGAUUGUUCCUACCCUCCUCAGGCCCUGGGGACCGCGCGCCCAGCAGGCCAGUGGCGUGUUGAAUUCCGCGGCCCAACACUCCCUCAGAAACCCGAGCGGUUCCCAGUGGCGGGCCAAAGUGGCGAAGAAACGUCAACGGACUUUUUUGAUUUUUCCUAUUAGAACGUACAUAGGCACCCCCCACCCCCAGGAUUGUCUACAACAGGUAGCCCACUGAAGAGUUCAAUGCUGUCAUUAUGGAUUGGCCAGAAGAUGUCUACCUUUCAUGGCCCCUGCUGGAAGAUGCCAACCUAGAACCACUUAGUGGAGCAAAAAUGUGGUCUGCAGUGCCCAGGCCACACACUAUCACAAGGAGAGAAGGGGAGACUAAGGUGCAGCUCUCUGCUAUGGCUUGGGAAAGCAGUAGAAGAUGGCCCAAGUCCUUGGGCCCCUGCACCCACACGGAAGACUGGGAAGAAGCUCCUGGCUCCUGGCUUCGGAUUGGCGCAGCUCCGAGUAUUGUGGCCAUUGAGGAGUGAACCAAUGGAUGGAAGACCUUUCUCUCUGUCUCUCCCUCUCACUGUC
Long non-coding RNA from Lepus europaeus (European hare), 676 nucleotides. RefSeq lists it as uncharacterized. The record is from RefSeq and is a predicted model, not a curated record. Lineage: Eukaryota; Metazoa; Chordata; Mammalia; Lagomorpha; Leporidae. The transcript is spliced from 4 exons.